Long non-coding RNA from Falco peregrinus (peregrine falcon), 1842 nucleotides. RefSeq lists it as uncharacterized. NCBI's taxonomy places the organism in Eukaryota, Metazoa, Chordata, Aves, Falconiformes, Falconidae. The record is from RefSeq and is a predicted model, not a curated record. The transcript is spliced from 5 exons.
UCUCCACGACCUGCCCCAGCGCGGGGCCCUUCCACAGGGUGCAGUCCUCAGACACGGGCUGCUCCAGGCUGGGGGGCAGAAUUAACUAUCCCAGGCAAAACCAGCACGGCAUGCCAGCUAUCUUAAGGCCUGAAAUAAACUUCUUGUCAGCAGUGAAAUAACAAAACAUUUAACAGUUAUGCAAAGAUACAUUGAAGAGCGGGUCAGCAAGCGGGUGGUUCCUGAAGGAGCAAAGGAGUUGCAGAAUCUCCUUUGUCUGUAGCUGCAAGAAGAGCAGAGCAUGGGCAAGGUGGAGAGAGGAAGGACAUUCUUGCUGUACAGGAUGCCUCUUUCCUAUGUAAAAAAAAUGUUGUGGAUCAUACCAGGAAUUACAGGUUAACCAUCUCUGGUGUAGCCAAUGAACACAGAAAUAGAGGGCUGUUGCAGAAAGACCAAACACCUCCCAAGUGCCCUCAUGCCGUGUUAGGCCUGGCAACAUGUACCUGCAGUUUCACGCUAUGAAGACAACACACCAGCAGGCUCAGAAUCGGCUCAUAUUACAGACACCCCAAAACAAAGAAUCUACAGCAGAUUUCUCUCUCUCUGUGUAUGUAUAUGAAGAAGACUCUGAUCUGACAAGAAAAUUACAUACUUGGCAAAGAAAGACUUAAAAAUAUAGGGCCUGACUGCCAUGUGUAAUGUUUUGAAAGGUCUGAAAGAUGUAAUUUUGUAAGACAGUGGGCCCUAGAUCCUGCCUGUCUCUGAGAAAACAACCUAGCAAAGCCCUGGGAUAAGAACUAGCACUUGCCAUUAUUCAGAAUAACCCUCAGUUUGCCAUGCUCUGUUGUAGUGGUCGCUCCCUGAGAUAGCAGGGGUAGAGUCUGGAUUUUGCUGGGCAUUAGGCAGUGGUGUCUCUAUUGCUGUCUUUACCACCCAUUUACAGGUCACACAGAGAAACCGGGGAGGUAGAAAGUCUAUUGGCAUUUUAUUCUAGAGCUGUUCUAGCAGCCAAGCUCAGAGCUUGCAUCUGACUGAUAGUUUAGGAUUGCACCUUUCCGUACACUAUUCAGUACUUCUAACUCCCCAAGAGAAGUUCUUUCAAACCCUAAUUAAGUGACUAAACUGCACAAAACACCAGAGGUAGAUUAAGAAUCUUUAUUCUAUUUUGUACAGAUGUUAUGUAGUGUGUGGAGCAGUAAGCAUCAGGAUUUAUCAUGGUUUGUGAGGAUGUUUGCAAUGUGUUGUAAGAGCAGCUCUGCUUACUCACCAACAAGUAACUUGAGGGUCUUUAUUUCUGCAUGUGGCACAGGGAGAUGAGAAAAAGCUGGGAAGUUGUGCUGAAGUGCUAUCAUUCCCCACUCCCAUUCAGCUUUAUGCUUCUCCAUGGAUAAGGCUGUGUGAUUCCCUGGAGAAUUACUGGGACACCUGCCAAACCAGAGUCAGAGAGAAAGCAAAAUGCAGAUGGACCAGUCCCCAUCGCGGGUCUCAAAACAAACUGCCUCUUAGUACCUGAGUGUCCACACUGUGGUGCCUGGCAUUAUUUGCUUCAGAAAACAAGGUGGAAAAAUCUAUCUCCAAAAGAUGACUUAUCAUUAGGAAGGGGUCUCUGUGAGCAGAAUUAGUCCUGUCUGCAGUGGAGGAACCCACGUCCAUGUAAUGUGGAUUGAUGAAAAAGCUCCUGUCAAGAGUCCUUGCCUUUGCCUUGUCACAGGCAAACUCAGCUUGUCAGGUUUUGCUCUCCCAGUGUUGUUCAGCUUUAGCAUUGGUGAAGCGGGCAGCGAGGAAAGAAAGGUGUUAAUGACACUGCAGAAAUCACAGUGAGCUCUGAUCUAAAACCCUGUGUGCAGCUUCCCCCGCCCCAGG